Long non-coding RNA from Oncorhynchus keta (chum salmon), 1193 nucleotides. RefSeq lists it as uncharacterized. The transcript is spliced from 3 exons. NCBI's taxonomy places the organism in Eukaryota, Metazoa, Chordata, Actinopteri, Salmoniformes, Salmonidae. The record is from RefSeq and is a predicted model, not a curated record.
AAGGUUAGUGUGCUGUCGUCUAGCAGACAUGAGGAGGGCUGACAUCAUGAGGAAGGUUAGUGUGCUGUCGUCUAGCAGACAUGAGGAGGGCCGACAUCAUGAGGAAGGUUAGUGGGCUGUCGUCUAGCAGACAUGAGGAGGGCUGACAUCAUGAGGAAGGUUAGUGUGCUGUCGUCUAGCAGACAUGAGGAGGGCUGACAUCAUGAGGAAGGUUAGUGUGCUGUCGUCUAGCAGACAUGAGGAGGGCCGACAUCAUGAGGAAGGUUAGUGGGCUGUCGUCUAGCAGACAUGAGGAGGGCUGACAUCAUGAGGAAGGUUAGUGUGCUGUCGUCUAGCAGACAUGAGGAGGGCUGACAUCAUGAGGAAGGUUAGUGGGCUGUCGUCUAGCAGACAUGAGGAGGGCUGACAUCAUGAGGAAGGUUAGUGGGCUGUCGUCUAGCAGACAGGAGGAGGGCUGACAUCAUGAGGAAGGUUAGUGGGCUGUCGUCUAGCAGACAUGAGGAGGGCUGACAUCAUGAGGAAGGUUAGUGGGCUGUCGUCUAGCAGACAUGAGGAGGGCUGACAUCAUGAGGAAGGUUAGUGGGCUGUCGUCUAGCAGACAUGAGGAGGGCUGACAUCAUGAGGAAGGUUAGUGUGCUGUCGUCUAGCAGACAUGAGGAGGGCUGACAUCAUGAGGAAGGUUAGUGGGCUGUCGUCUAGCAGACAUGAGGAGGGCUGACAUCAUGAGGAAGGUUAGUGGGCUGUCGUCUAGCAGACAGGAGGAGGGCUGACAUCAUGAGGAAGGUUAGUGUGCUGUCGUCUAGCAGACAUGAGGAGGGCUGACAUCAUGAGGAAGGUUAGUGGGCUGUCGUCUAGCAGACAUGAGGAGGGCUGACAUCAUGAGGAAGGUUAGUGGGCUGUCGUCUAGCAGACAGGAGGAGGGCUGACAUCAUGAGGAAGGUUAGUGUGCUGUCGUCUAGCAGACAUGAGGAGGGCUGACAUCAUGAGGAAGGUUAGUGGGCUGUCGUCUAGCAGACAUGAGGAGGGCUGACAUCAUGAGGAAGGUUAGUGGGCUGUCGUCUAGCAGACAUGAGGAGGGCUGACAUCAUGAGGAAGGUUAGUGGGCUGUCGUCUAGCAGACAUGAGGAGGGCUGACAUCAUGAGGAAGGUUAGUGGGCUGUCGUCUAGCAGACAUGAGGACGGCUAACAUCAUG